RNAcentral lists this unclassified non-coding RNA (426 nucleotides) under Hevea brasiliensis (rubber tree). The record is from RNAcentral. Lineage: Eukaryota; Viridiplantae; Streptophyta; Magnoliopsida; Malpighiales; Euphorbiaceae.
GAAGCAGAAUCUAUAUGGACUGAUAAAUUCGGUUUUCAAAAGAUAGAACCUGACCAGAUUAGCAAUUACAGAAAAAGUUGUUGUCAGAUGGUGACCUUCAAAGGGACUUCUAUGCUGCAGAGAAUGGUUCCUGCUUGUAGAAUUGUUAAUCAAAAUGCUGGGUCUGUAGGAGUAUUGUAAAGAAGUGAUCUAUGAUGCAAUAUUCAUCUGCCGGAUCAUCAUUUUACCGGACUGUCAACCCAGAUUUUCCUGAGAAAGUGCGUUGAUUGCGAAAGCUCUUACUAUACCAAAUUGAACAUUAUAGUUCCUAUAUUUUAGAAGUAACUUUAGGUGGAGGUUAUAAUUUUGUUCAACUGCUGUGAUAAUCCUUUGUUUUGUGUUCGAAAUCUCUGGGGUUAAACAAGUAUUCGACCAAUGGAAUAUAGG